GGGGUUGUGGCUCAGUGGUAGAGUGCUUGCCUAACAUGUACGUGGCUCUGGGUUCAAUCCUCAGCACCACA
This 71-nucleotide transfer RNA is filed under the name Marmota monax (woodchuck). RNAcentral's name for it is "tRNA.Val". It matches the Rfam family "tRNA". Rfam says of the family: Transfer RNA (tRNA) molecules are approximately 80 nucleotides in length. Their secondary structure includes four short double-helical elements and three loops (D, anti-codon, and T loops). Further hydrogen bonds mediate the characteristic L-shaped molecular structure. tRNAs have two regions of fundamental functional importance: the anti-codon, which is responsible for specific mRNA codon recognition, and the 3' end, to which the tRNAs corresponding amino acid is attached (by aminoacyl-tRNA synthetases). tRNAs cope with the degeneracy of the genetic code in two manners: having more than one tRNA (with a specific anti-codon) for a particular amino acid; and 'wobble' base-pairing, i.e. permitting non-standard base-pairing at the 3rd anti-codon position. The record is from RNAcentral. Lineage: Eukaryota; Metazoa; Chordata; Mammalia; Rodentia; Sciuridae.